Molecule: long non-coding RNA, 403 nt
Organism: Balaenoptera musculus (blue whale)
Lineage: Eukaryota; Metazoa; Chordata; Mammalia; Artiodactyla; Balaenopteridae
Exons: 3
Source: RefSeq, a predicted model, not a curated record
CAGUCCCCCAGCCUCCAGAGCCCGGCUGCGGGCCUCGGGGCGAAGUGAGGACUGCGCGUGGGCGAAGUAAUUCUCCCGGGAAGAUGAGCCUGGCCUCAGACCCUCCCUGGGACGCCGUGGGCCGGACGCCUGGAGGAGGAGAGGAGGAGAGGGCCGAGCACUCCUCACAGACCCUGCGGGGGCCGCGGCCCAAGGGUCCUGCUGCUCAGGAAUGAAUCUGAGGACAGGCAACAUCUUGGUGACGCUCCAGACUUUCCAGCUGACUUGGUGUAGAGGACCUGUGGGAGGUGCUGAGGAGGACUGAGGGAGAGGAGGGUGGCAGUGUUUCAGAGGCUGCCCCAUCAGCCCAGGUUAACGAAGGAAGAAGUGGAGCAGAGCCCAGCCCACCCAUGUUGGACAUGGC